AUUGAACGCUGGCGGAAUGCUUUACACAUGCAAGUCGAACGGCAGCACGGACUUCGGUCUGGUGGCGAGUGGCGAACGGGUGAGUAAUGUAUCGGAACGUGCCCAGUCGCGGGGGAUAACGUAGUGAAAAUUACGCUAAUACCGCAUACGAUCUAUGGAUGAAAGCGGGGGAUCGCGAGACCUCGCGCGAUUGGAGCGGCCGAUAUCAGAUUAGGUAGUUGGUGGGGUAAAGGCCCACCAAGCCAACGAUCUGUAGCUGGUCUGAGAGGACGACCAGCCACACUGGAACCGAGGCACGGUCCAGACUCCUACGGGAGGCAGCAGUGGGGAGUUUUGGACAAUGGGCGAAAGCCUGAUCCAGCCAUUCCGCGUGCAGGAUGAAGGCCCUCGGGUUGUAAACUGCUUUUGUACAGAACGAAAAGGUUUCUACUAAUACUAGGAGCUCAUGACGGUACUGUAAGAAUAAGCACCGGCUAACUACGUGCCAGCCGCCGCAGUAA
This 500-nucleotide ribosomal RNA is filed under the name uncultured bacterium. RNAcentral describes it as "partial 16S ribosomal RNA". It matches the Rfam family "Bacterial small subunit ribosomal RNA", at positions 30 to 523 of the family's 1533-position model. The record is from RNAcentral.